Onychomys torridus (southern grasshopper mouse) is the source of this 180-nucleotide long non-coding RNA. RefSeq lists it as uncharacterized. The transcript has 3 exons. NCBI's taxonomy places the organism in Eukaryota, Metazoa, Chordata, Mammalia, Rodentia, Cricetidae. The record is from RefSeq and is a predicted model, not a curated record.
CCCCAGGAAGAGCAGCAAGUGAUUUUAACCUCCAAGCCAGCCCCAACAGAUUCUAAGGCUUUGGAAGAAGACAGAGGAAAUGCCACAUCCAUGCAGGAAGCUGAGGAAACAGCAAUGCAGGGGGCAGAGAAGGGUUCUGGAGAAGGUGCCUGCUCUGGAUGGGGACAGGAAGAGGCUGUU